AUGAAUUUCAUUUCCAGAAACAAUUUUAGUAACAAUGCUUAUAAGAACAACUUUGAAAAUAAUUAUGUUAGACCAUACCUGCAAAAAGUUCAAAAUACAUAUGGAAAUUCUUAUGGCAAUAAAAAUAUACCUACUGGUCUUCAAAAUGACGCGUACUCGGCCAAGUCCUACUAUCUGGCGCUCUUCUCUGGAUCCGCAAUUGAGCCAUCUUGGCACCUCACCUAGAAGUCGUGGGCUCCACUACGCGUAAAGAUCUUCCUAUGGCUUGCUUACCAGGGCUGGUGUUAGACCGUAGACAGAUUGGCACGUCGUGGACUGCCGCACGCCUCUCUAUGUCUACUUUGCAACAAGGAGCCAGAAACCAUCCAACACCUUCUCGUCACCUGCUCCUUCUCUCGCUAGGUGUGGUCAUGA
RNAcentral lists this ribosomal RNA (414 nucleotides) under Triticum aestivum (bread wheat). Its description in RNAcentral is "partial small subunit ribosomal RNA". Lineage: Eukaryota; Viridiplantae; Streptophyta; Magnoliopsida; Poales; Poaceae. The record is from RNAcentral.